RNAcentral lists this ribosomal RNA (465 nucleotides) under Vreelandella stevensii. Its description in RNAcentral is "partial 16S ribosomal RNA". It matches the Rfam family "Bacterial small subunit ribosomal RNA", at positions 338 to 795 of the family's 1533-position model. The record is from RNAcentral. Lineage: Bacteria; Pseudomonadati; Pseudomonadota; Gammaproteobacteria; Oceanospirillales; Halomonadaceae.
CCUACGGGAGGCUGCAGUGGGGAAUAUUGGACAAUGGGGGGAACCCUGAUCCAGCCAUGCCGCGUGUGUGAAGAAGGCCCUCGGGUUGUAAAGCACUUUCAGUGAGGAAGAACGCCUGGUGGUUAAUACCCAUCAGGAAAGACAUCACUCACAGAAGAAGCACCGGCUAACUCCGUGCCAACAGCCGCGGUAAUACGGAGGGUGCGAGCGUUAAUCGGAAUUACUGGGCGUAAAGCGCGCGUAGGUGGCUUGAUAAGCCGGUUGUGAAAGCCCCGGGCUCAACCUGGGAACGGCAUCCGGAACUGUCAAGCUAGAGUGCAGGAGAGGAAGGUAGAAUUCCCGGUGUAGCGGUGAAAUGCGUAGAGAUCGGGAGGAAUACCAGUGGCGAAGGCGGCCUUCUGGACUGACACUGACACUGAGGUGCGAAAGCGUGGGUAGCAAACAGGAUUAGAUACCCUAGUAGUC